This 812-nucleotide ribosomal RNA is filed under the name uncultured bacterium. Its description in RNAcentral is "bacterial SSU rRNA". It matches the Rfam family "Bacterial small subunit ribosomal RNA", at positions 61 to 862 of the family's 1533-position model. The record is from RNAcentral.
GUCGAGGGGCAGCGGGGAGGUAGCAAUACUUCCGCCGGCGACCGGCGCACGGGUGAGUAACACGUAUGGAACCUGCCCGUAGCAGGGGGAUAAGCGGAAGAAAUUCCGUCUAAUACCGCGUAAUAACUCCGAGAGGCAUCUCUUGGGGUUUAAAGGGUAACAUCGGCUACGGAUGGCCAUGCGGCGCAUUAGCUAGUUGGCGGGGUAACGGCCCACCAAGGCGACGAUGCGUAGGGGUUCUGAGAGGAAGGUCCCCCACACUGGUACUGAGACACGGACCAGACUCCUACGGGAGGCAGCAGUGAGGAAUAUUGGUCAAUGGGCGCGAGCCUGAACCAGCCAAGUCGCGUGAGGGAAGACGGUCCUAUGGAUUGUAAACCUCUUUUGUCGGGGAGCAAAAGACGUCACGUGUGGCGUUCCGAGAGUACCCGAAGAAAAAGCAUCGGCUAACUCCGUGCCAGCAGCCGCGGUAAUACGGAGGAUGCGAGCGUUAUCCGGAUUUAUUGGGUUUAAAGGGUGCGCAGGCGGAAGAUCAAGUCAGCGGUAAAAUUGAGAGGCUCAACCUCUUCGAGCCGUUGAAACUGGUUUUCUUGAGUGGGCGAGAAGUAUGCGGAAUGCGUGGUGUAGCGGUGAAAUGCAUAGAUAUCACGCAGAACUCCGAUUGCGAAGGCAGCAUACCGGCGCUCAACUGACGCUCAUGCACGAAAGUGUGGGUAUCGAACAGGAUUAGAUACCCUGGUAGUCCACACAGUAAACGAUGAAUACUAAUUGUUCGGGGAGAAUGAUCCCUGAGUGAUACAGCGAAAGCGUUA